RNAcentral lists this ribosomal RNA (438 nucleotides) under uncultured bacterium. RNAcentral describes it as "partial 16S ribosomal RNA". It matches the Rfam family "Bacterial small subunit ribosomal RNA", at positions 340 to 795 of the family's 1533-position model. The record is from RNAcentral.
UACGGGUGGCAGCAGUAGGGAAUAUCGCUCAAUGGGGGAAACCCUGAAGCAGCAACGCCGCGUGGAGGAUGAAGGUUUUAGGAUUGUAAACUCCUUUUGUGAGAGAAGAUAAUGACGGUAUCUCACGAAUAAGCACCGGCUAACUCCGUGCCAGCAGCCGCGGUAAUACGGAGGGUGCAAGCGUUACUCGGAAUCACUGGGCGUAAAGAGUGCGCAGGCGGGCUUGUAAGUCAGAUGUGAAAUCCUGUAGCUUAACUACAGAACUGCAUUUGAAACUAUGAGUCUAGAGUGUGGGAGAGGUAGGUGGAAUUCUUGGUGUAGGGGUAAAAUCCGUAGAUAUCAAGAGGAAUACUCAUUGCGAAGGCGGCCUGCUGGACUGAAACUGACGUUGAGGCUCGAAAGCGUGGGGAGCAAACAGGAUUAGAUACCCCUGUAGUC